UACGAAGGGUGCAAGCGUUACUCGGAAUUACUGGGCGUAAAGCGUGCGUAGGUGGUUCGUUAAGUCUGUCGUGAAAGCCCCGGGCUCAACCUGGGAAUGGCGAUGGAUACUGGCGGGCUAGAGUGCGGUAGAGGAGAGUGGAAUUCCCGGUGUAGCAGUGAAAUGCGUAGAUAUCGGAAGGAACACCAGUGGCGAAAGCGGCUUCCUGGUCCAGCACCGACGUUCAGGCACGAAAGCGUGGGGAGCAAACAGG
This 253-nucleotide ribosomal RNA is filed under the name uncultured bacterium. Its description in RNAcentral is "partial 16S ribosomal RNA". It matches the Rfam family "Bacterial small subunit ribosomal RNA", at positions 524 to 776 of the family's 1533-position model. The record is from RNAcentral.